CCACAUGGCAAAGGUGGAAGAACUUUGAAGGCAGUGGGACGAUUGUCUAGUUUGUAUCUAUUGAAUAUAAAAGGUGCACCAUGUGGUGCCAGUGGACGAAUUGACUGCUUCAAGCUGGAAGGUUCCUGUGUGGCCACGGUAGAAGAUGAUAUAGAACAAGAGCGCUCCGCAUUCUCUGUUGAUCUGCUACAAUCAGAGAUUGUGUCAGCUUGUGUUGAGGUAGAAGAUGAUAUAGAACAAGAGUGCUCCGCAUUCUCUGUUGAUCUGCUACAAUCAGAGAUUGUGUCAGCUUGUGUUGAAGAUACAUCAUUAUUAAGUUCCGCGGAGCUUGCAUUUUGCAUUUUUGCAGAAUAAGAUACUGUUUCUCCCUCCUUCUGUUUCUUCAGAUCCUGGUCUGAGACUGCUUCAGCUUUCACACCUACAGCCUGCAUAGACAUAACCACAUAAUGGUGGAAGAGAAGACCCUAACAUUAGUUUACUAAAGAUCAAUGACAUUAUAUCGUCAAUAUACAGAGAGGAAAAACAAAGAACUGCAAUAAACAUGAGAUCUGCUUACUCUGAGGACAAUUUAAUUGCUAUAGUCAAUCUUGAUAUAAGUUGUGGAAUUGGAAACAAGAAUAAGAACUUUUACAGUUAAAAUAAAGUUAUAUCAUCAUAUGUGGGAAGGAAACAAAGAAUGACUUGCAUAAACAAUUCCAGAUACAAGAUAUUCAUUGUAGUUAGCCCUCGUCAUUAUUAUGGAAAAAAGUACUUCUACAGUUAACAACUAGGAAGCAUAUCAAAUAAAAACUUGCAGGAAUACUUCGAAAAGUCAGUUUGUUUAAAAGUAGGUUUUGAAAAAAAAUAUAAUGGAAUAUUUCAAGUUGGUGAGAGAAAAUAAAGAAUAAAAUCACUUAAUCUCAGUAGAUACUGAAUAUCAGCUAAAAGAACAUUUUCUUUGGACAAAUUUGAAAAAAGAACAGGCAAUCACCUGCUUCUCAAGUUUAACCAACUGACGUCGAAACUCAUUC
This 1010-nucleotide long non-coding RNA is filed under the name Nicotiana benthamiana. Its description in RNAcentral is "long non-coding RNA (NBEN_LNC004799)". Lineage: Eukaryota; Viridiplantae; Streptophyta; Magnoliopsida; Solanales; Solanaceae. The record is from RNAcentral.